RNAcentral lists this ribosomal RNA (460 nucleotides) under uncultured bacterium. Its description in RNAcentral is "partial 16S ribosomal RNA". It matches the Rfam family "Bacterial small subunit ribosomal RNA", at positions 338 to 795 of the family's 1533-position model. The record is from RNAcentral.
CCUACGGGUGGCAGCAGUGAGGAAUAUUGGUCAAUGGACGAGAGUCUGAACCAGCCAAGUAGCGUGAAGGAUGACUGCCCUCUGGGUUGUAAACUUCUUUUAUAAAGGAAUAAAACGAGGCACGUGUGCCUUUUUGCAUGUACUUUAUGAAUAAGGAUCGGCUAACUCCGUGCCAGCAGCCGCGGUAAUACGGAGGAUCCGAGCGUUAUCCGGAUUUAUUGGGUUUAAAGGGAGCGUAGAUGGGUUGUUAAGUAAGUUGUGAAAGUUUACGGCUCAACAGUAAAAUUGCAAUUGAUACUGGCAGUCUUGAGUACAGUUGAGGCAGGCGGAAUUCGUGGUGUAGCGGUGAAAUGCGUAGAUAUCAGGAGGAACACCGAUUGCGAAGGCAGCUUACUAGACUGUAACUGACAUUGAGGCUCGAAAGUGUGGGUAGCAAACAGGAUUAGAUACCCCUGUAGUC